RNAcentral lists this ribosomal RNA (414 nucleotides) under uncultured microorganism. RNAcentral describes it as "bacterial SSU rRNA". It matches the Rfam family "Archaeal small subunit ribosomal RNA", at positions 330 to 745 of the family's 1478-position model. The record is from RNAcentral.
GUGCAGCAGUCGAGAAACCUUCGCAAUGCGGGAAACCGCGACGAGGGGACUCCCAGUGCCUACGCUCAGCGUAGGCUGUUCCCGAGCCUAGAAAGCUCGGGGAGUAAGGGCUGGGUAAGACGGGUGCCAGCCGCCGCGGUAAUACCCGCAGCCCGAGUGGUGGCCACUAUUAUUGGGCCUAAAGCGUCCGUAGCCGGCCCGGUAAAUGCCUGGGUAAAUCGUGAGGCCUAACCUCACGAAUUCCGGGUAGACUGCCGGGCUAGGGACCGGAGGAGGGAGAGGGUACUCCGAGGGGUAGGGGUGAAAUCCUGUAAUCCCUGGAGGACCACCGGUGGCGAAGGCGCUCUCCUAGGACGGGUCCGACGGUGAGGGACGAAAGCCAGGGGAGCGAACCGGAUUAGAUACCCGUGUAGU